UUAGAUGGAUGGUUUGGUGGUUUGGUGGGUUGUUGGAGAAGUUGAUGCUAGUUACGAUAUGGCUUAGCCUUAGGUUGUUAUGGGUUGAGAAAGUCCUUUGCAUAAGAUAUAUCUAGGUUCUUAAAUUAAAACUUGACCAACUAAAACAUGAGCUUUGCAGUCCACCAAAUAGACCCUUCCUUAAAACUUGACCAACUAAAACAUGAGCUUUGCAGUCCACCAAAUAAACCCUUCCUUGUUCUAAGUCUGCAUGUUAUCCAUAUAAUUCCCUCCACUUGCGGACUACACGCCUCCAGGUGUACUCAUCGUUUUUCCUUUCAACCCCUG
Molecule: long non-coding RNA, 327 nt
Filed under: Setaria viridis
Lineage: Eukaryota; Viridiplantae; Streptophyta; Magnoliopsida; Poales; Poaceae
Description: long non-coding RNA (SVIR_LNC008980)
Source: RNAcentral